This 643-nucleotide ribosomal RNA is filed under the name uncultured Actinomycetes bacterium. Its description in RNAcentral is "bacterial SSU rRNA". It matches the Rfam family "Bacterial small subunit ribosomal RNA", at positions 232 to 885 of the family's 1533-position model. Lineage: Bacteria; Bacillati; Actinomycetota; Actinomycetes. The record is from RNAcentral.
CGCGGCCUAUCAGCUUGUUGGUGAGGUAACGGCCCACCAAGGCGACGACGGGUAGCCGGCCUGAGAGGGUGACCGGCCACACUGGGACUGAGACACGGCCCAGACUCCUACGGGAGGCAGCAGUGGGGAAUAUUGCACAAUGGGCGCAAGCCUGAUGCAGCAACGCCGCGUGAGGGACGACGGCCUUCGGGUUGUAAACCUCUUUUAGCAGGGAAGAAGCGAAAGUGACGGUACCUGCAGAAAAAGCACCGGCUAACUACGUGCCAGCAGCCGCGGUAAUACGUAGGGUGCAAGCGUUGUCCGGAAUUAUUGGGCGUAAAGAGCUCGUAGGCGGUUUGUCGCGUCUGCUGUGAAAAUCCGAGGCUCAACCUCGGACCUGCAGUGGGUACGGGCAAACUAGAGUGCGGUAGGGGAGAUGGGAAUUCCUGGUGUAGCGGUGGAAUGCGCAGAUAUCAGGAGGAACACCAAUGGCGAAGGCACAUCUCUGGGCCGUAACUGACGCUGAGGAGCGAAAGCGUGGGGAGCGAACAGGAUUAGAUACCCUGGUAGUCCACGCCGUAAACGGUGGGUGCUAGCUGUGGGCCACAUUCCGCGUGGUCCGUGACGAAGUUAACACAUUAAGCACCCCGCCUGGGGAGUACGG